Molecule: RNA transcript, 2437 nt
Organism: Brassica napus (rape)
Lineage: Eukaryota; Viridiplantae; Streptophyta; Magnoliopsida; Brassicales; Brassicaceae
Gene name: NF-kappa-B-activating protein
Exons: 3
Source: RefSeq, a predicted model, not a curated record
UUGUUAUAGUAUAUUUGUAAACCCUUAAUUCCAUUUUUUAUUUUCGUCAAGUCGUAGUCUGAUAAAAUCCAAAUAAAUUUCACUAGAAAUAAUUUGGGGAAAAGAUAAUCUCGUCGUCGCCCUAGGGAUCAAGAUGUCGCCUCCUCCGAGCUGGUUCAUGGAGAAUCAAGGGGAAGUUUAUGAAGGUCGGCGUAGAGGAUCGGAAUCGGACGAAGAGCUGAAGGGGCUGAGCUACCAGGAGUACCGGAGGCUCAAACGGAUCAAGAUGAGGAACACUGGUAGGUUCUGCAUCUGGAACAACACGCCGAGUCCACCGAGAGAUCCGAACGAGGAUGAGAACGCCGAUGAUGAUGAUGAUGAUAACCUGACGAAAGCGAAAGGCGAAUCUGAUUCUGGUAAGUCGCAAUCUGAAACUGAUCGAUCUAGGAAGCGUAGAGGGAUGAGAUCUUAUGAUAGCGAUAGCGAAUCUGUAGAGAGUGAGAGUGAUUCUGAUAAGGAAGAUAGGAGACAACGUAGAAGGAAGAUUAAGAGUAAGAGGUCUAGGAGAUCUUAUGAUAGCGAUGGUGAAUCUGAAGAGAGUGAGGAAGAUAGGAAGAAAAGCACAAGUAUUAGGAAGAAGAGAAGAUACAGUGAUUCUGAUGAGAGCAGCGAUGCAUCUGAGAUUAGUGCUUCCUCGUCUGGUGAUGAACAACACACCAAGUCAAAGAUCAACAGGCGGAAGAAGCUCUCAGGCGAUGGUUCCGACGAGGGACGAAGAAGUAAGAAGAAGAAAAGAAGCAGAAGUAGUAGAAAGAGGCCAGGACAUAGGAGGAAGAGCAGCGACAUUAGUGCUUCUGGGGAAGAACGUAGCAAGUCAAAGAGCAGGAGGCGUAAGAAGCUGUCAGGCGAUGGUUCUGACACUGAUCUGAAGGCGAAACUUGAAGAAAAGGUGAAGGAUACUGAGCUUGACGAAGAGGAGUUGAAGAAGUUCAAAGAGAUGGUUAAUGAAUCAAAGAAGAAAUCUUUAGCUCCUGAAGAUGAUGAAGAAGAAGCUGAGGUAGGUCCAAUGCCGCUACCUAAAGCUGAAGGACACAUCAGUUACGGUGGUGCGUUAAGACCCGGUGAAGGAGACGCUAUAGCACAGUACGUUCAGCAAGGGAAGCGUAUCCCACGAAGAGGAGAAGUGGGUCUUAACGCUGAUGAGAUUCAGAGGUUUGAGGAUCUUGGGUAUGUCAUGAGUGGGAGUAGGCAUCAAAGGAUGAAUGCUAUUCGUAUCAGGAAGGAGAACCAGGUUUACAGUGCUGAAGACAAACGUGCGUUGGCUAUGUUUAACUAUGAGGAGAAGGCCAAGCGUGAGGCUAAGGUGAUGUCUGAUCUUUCGAGGCUGGUGCAGCGCCAUAUGGGAGAGGAGUUGGGUCCGAAUCAUGACCCUUUUGGUGCUGGAAAGGCUGAUGGAGCUGACGACUGAAUGUGGACAUACAGAAGCUGCUGCUCCGCUCUGCUUUUGAUGCUUCAUCCUACUUCUUUGUCUCUCAGCUAUCUUUGGUUAUGUUUUUUUGUUACCCCGUGACAAAAUAUUGUCUAUAAGCUGCGUGAAGCUUUUCUACAAACAAAGUACGUUUUCUAAAGCACAAAGUUGGAUUCAAAUCCUAAGACAUGAAAGUAGAUGAUGAUUACGUGGAGUAUGUUCCAGUGGCGAAGCGUAGAGCAAUGCAAGAGCGGAAGGGAAAGGUGAUGGAGGACAAGGAGAAGCUCGCACCUAGCUUACUCGUUAAAGCAACUCAGCAGCAGCUCAAGAGGAGGAGGAGGAGAGACGUUAGUGCCACGGAGCAAAUUAUAUUACAAGAGAAGGAGAUGAUGGAGCAUUUAUCUUGUGAUAAGAAGACGCUUAUGUCUGUCUGUUCGUGAAUUGGCCAAAGGUUGGGAACCACACCCUGGGAGCAUCAUGUCGAGCAAACAGAUUGAUUUGACUAGGAAGCAAUUUCAUAUUAUAGUUAGUGGCGAAGAUAUUCCUCCGCCCAUCAAGAAUUUCAACGAUAUGAACAUUCCGAGAGGUCUUGGCGUUACGCUCAAGGAGAAAGGGAUAGUGAAGCCAACUCCGAUCCAAGUUCAGGGUCUUCCUGUGAUUUUAUCAGGAAGAGAUAUGAUCGGGAUUGCCUCCACUGGAUCUGGAAAGACGUUGGUUUUCGUGCUUCCCAUGAUCAUGAUAGCUCUGCAGGAGGAGAUGGUGCGUCAAACAAGAAGCAAAGAUUGUCACCUCCUCGAGUGCCUGCAGAAUACUCUCGUCUCAUUCUUAUAUACGUUUGUAACAUGAGAAAAUUCAUGUGGACACAAGUUGUGUUAUUAGCAGCCUUAUUACUUAAAGAAUCCGGAUCUUGUAUAUGCACUGAGUUCUGGUUAACCCGAUAAGUUAGCCGGCCAAGAUAUGGUAAAACUGCUUGACGUGAUUAUUGAUUAA